This 254-nucleotide ribosomal RNA is filed under the name uncultured bacterium. Its description in RNAcentral is "partial 16S ribosomal RNA". It matches the Rfam family "Bacterial small subunit ribosomal RNA", at positions 524 to 776 of the family's 1533-position model. The record is from RNAcentral.
UACAGAGGGGCAAGCGUUAUUCGGAAUUAUUGGGCGUAAAGGGCGCGAUAGGCGGCCUGGCAAGUGGAUGGUGAAAUCCCUCGGCUUAACCGAGGAACUGCCAUCCAGACUGCUUGGCUUGAGACCGGGAGAGGUGAGUGGAAUUCCCAGUGUAGCGGUGAAAUGCGCAGAUAUCAAGGAGGAACACCGAUGGCGAAGGCAGGUCUCUGGGCCGAUACUGACGCUGAGGAGCGAAAGCGUGGGGAUCAAACAGG